This 72-nucleotide transfer RNA is filed under the name Bos taurus (domestic cattle). It matches the Rfam family "tRNA". From Rfam's summary of the family: Transfer RNA (tRNA) molecules are approximately 80 nucleotides in length. Their secondary structure includes four short double-helical elements and three loops (D, anti-codon, and T loops). The record is from Rfam by way of RNAcentral. RNAcentral also lists the same sequence under 5 other names. Lineage: Eukaryota; Metazoa; Chordata; Mammalia; Artiodactyla; Bovidae.
UCCCUGGUGGCUCCGAUGGUAAAGCGUCUGCCUACAAUGCAGGAGACCCAGGUUCCAUCCCUGGAUUGGGAA